AAGUAUUUGAUCCCCUGCUGAUUUUGUACGUUUGCCCACUGACAAAGAAAUGGUCAGUCUAUAAUUUUAAUGGUAGGUUUAUUUGAACAGUGAGAGACAGAAUAACAACAAGAAAAUCCAGAAAAACGCAUGUCAAAAAUGUUAUUAUUGAUCAUUACUUUGUCAGUGGGCAAACGUACAAAUCAACAGGGGAUCAAAUACUUUUUUCCGUCACUGUAAGGAUAGAGAUUGACCCAUAGGGCUUGAGAGUCUGCAUGGAGCAGAUGUGGAUCUCCACCAUGUGACCCAGUUGGGCAGUUCAAGUGCACUGUCCCAGAUCUCCAUGCAACAUUGAAGAAGCGUGUUAACUACACAACCCCACACUUGCCCUGUGCCUUCAACAUUUCUGGCUGAAUCUCAUCCACCCUUAAAGCCUUGCCACUAUAAAAUUUUCUAAACACCAUAGUAACCUUAACCACAAAGAUGGACUCCAAAACCAGAUAUUUCUGGUAUGAAGGGAUGUCUAGUCUACUGGGUUCCUCCAAGUGCAAUCAGUAUAUCAUGGGUUCAAGCCCCAGUACCGCCAAGCUGCCACUGUUGUGUCCUUGAGCAAGGCCCUUAGCUCUCCCUGCUCCAGGGGUGCCAUAUUAUGGCUGACCCUGCACUCUGACCCCAACUUCCUAACAAGCUGUGAUAUGUGAAGAAAAGAAUUUCACUGUGCUGUGAUGUAUAUAUGAUCAUUCUUCAAUAUCCCCAGUAGAUGUCAAUGCUCCUCUUGUUGAGCAGAGCUUGUGAAUGGUCUCAUCUCCCUCUCCCGAGAUUCCAAAUGGUUUGCCAGAACAUGUUAUUUACCUUCAUUAUAGCCACACCUUGCAGUGGUUUGUCACAUUUGAAAGGAAAUGCUAAGAAAUUCAAAAUGCUGACACAAAGAACAAUUACACAGAGGGAUAUUAAGUUGUUGUUUUUUCGUCAGCUCGGAAUGCUGAGUGACCUUGUCCUCAAGCAGUGACUUGAAAUGUUCAUGUAAAGUAACUGUAAUAACAUUUCAAAAAUUCUGCCAGUGUAAAUACAAACCAGGGUGUGCAGACUGCACAUUCUGUUUUUUCUUAGCUGGUUUUCUGCAUGAAACCAGCUUCCUUUUUUUUUUUUUUUAAACAAAAAUUGGUAUUCUGUUCACUAAGUCCCUUUAGAGAGACAUUUGCUGAAGUGGCAGAAUAGUUGAAGGGCUUCAGGUGAGUUGUGCAUCAAUAGACUGACCUCUCUCUCUCUCUCUCUCUCUCUCUCUCUCUCUCUCUCUCUUUCUCUCCCUCUGUGUAUCACUCUUUAUAUAUCUCUUUCACAGUACAGAUGGGCUCAUUACUGGAAAGACAUUUGCAUUCCUUGUCCUUGCAUUAAUGGAUGGAAUUUCACAAUAUUAGCUUGUUGUCUACAGUAUGUAUGCCAGUCAAUGCAUUGCAAUAAACCCUACAUUGAUUAAAUGAAGCAUAAACUGUAUAGGAAUAUGGAUGCCAAAGCCAGCAAGCCUGAAGGUGAAUGGGGGAAAAAGUUUUGCUUUAAGUUUAUUAGCCUUGGGCUCUUAUCUGACCUGAAUAUUGAUUACGAUAGAGGACAGCUAUGUUGAGGAAAAAAAGCAUACACAACAUACUCUUUUGUGUGAAAAAUAAAAUGUAUAGAAAUUAGAUGUUUCCCAAUUCUAGUAAUUAAUUUAUCUUCAGUAACCAUGUUAUCCUAGUCAGGGUUAAAGAGAAGCAGAUUUGGAUUCUAUCCUGAGAACACUGGAUGCAAGGCUGGGAUACACCCCCAGGUGAAACACCACUCCAUCGCAGGGCACCACACAUAAACUCACACUUAUAGGUAGCUUAAAGAAGCCUAUACACCUACAAACCUGUUUCCAGGAGGUGGGAGGAAGUCUAUGUGGAUACAGAGAGAACACACACAAUAACUGGACCUUGGAGCUCUCAGGCACCAGCACUACCUGUUGUCUCACUGUGCCACCCCUCCUUCUAUGUAAUUGCUUACACUACACAGUGUAGACAGUGGUUCAGUGGAUAGUUGGGCCUUUAUCAAUAUGUUGCCACAAUGUUAGAAGAACGCAGUUGUCUAGAAUGCCUUUUGAUGAUGUAGCACUAAGAUUUCCUUUAAUUGGAACUAAAGGGUCCUAGACUAAAUAUUGUCCAGCAUGACAAUGCCCCUGUGCACUAAGCACAAUCUAUAAAGAUGUGGUUUUCAAAGGUUUGUGUGGAAGAAAACAAAUGGCCCACUCAGUAAAUAAUAAAUGGUAAAUGACCUUUUAACAUUAGCUGUUCUACAAAGCACUUUAUACUGUUUCUCCUUCCACAAAGUUGGAAACACACACACCAAUGCCAUGCAAGGUGCUAGCCUGCUAUCAUGUGCAACCCAGGGACACUUCAGCAUGUGGAGUCAUGUGGGCCAGGGAUUGAACCUCCAACCCUGCGAUUAGUGGACAACCCGAUCACAGUACCGUGACCUAAACCCCACUGAACACCUGUGGGAUGAAUUGGAAUGCCAACUGAUGCUUUGCCUACACCUAAAUCUAACCAUAACCUUAUCUUCUGUAACUAUAAGGAAAUUUUUAUCUCUUUUAGUUUUUGUAAAAAAGCAGUCCUCACAAGGUCAAAACUGUCAGAUAUUCCCAUCCCUGUGAUUCCUGUCCCCACCAAGAUUUUAAAAUAUGCUAAACAUGUUAUGAUUUAUUUCAUGUGCUUUAAUUGUAUUUCUUGGCCUUAUGUGAAAAUCUCCUGCAUAAAGAGGAGUAAUUAACAUCUAUUGAUUAGAGGACCCCAUGCAUAGAGUGACGAAGAGCAGAACUGACAGCUGCAAUUCUGUGCCUGUUGCAUAAUGAUUGUGGCAAUUGACAAACCUAAACCGAACUUCCUGUGAUUUUAAAUUGAUGGGGAAAUAUGCUGUGGGGUUGGGUAGACUUCAUGAUUUGAUUUUUGGAGAGCAGAACACAAGAUGUACAGGAAAGGAUAAGUCUGAUAUUAUUUAAAAAAUUCCUAAGUAUUUCAGUUGUCACUAUUUUUAUUGAGUUUUUACUAUACCUGUUAGGCAAUGGACCAGCAGCUAUCUGUACUGCACUAUGGGCAAUUAAAAUUUUAAUUUUAACAUCGCCGUGACUAAAAUACUUGCUUAUAUUCGCAACAUUACUCAGAUGUUAUGAUGUCAAUUAAUAUUAUGUGUGAUGUGCAGUUCUAUUGUUACCUUGCCUGACAUUCAAGGUUGUUAGAGUGCUAAUCAAUAUUUGGGCAUUCUGCUACAAUUGCUAACACUCGAGGGCUUGAAAGGGCAUGAAAACUGGGACAACCUGAACAUUUACAGUUGUGGUCGGAAGUUUAUGUACACUCAUCAUGAACAUGAAUGUCAUGGCAAUAAUGGGCUUUCAAUCAUUUCUUUGAACUAUUCUUUUUCUGGGGCAUAAUGAUUGUACAAUAUACAUCUUUAAUUAAAAACAAAAAAAACAAGAAUUUGGCUCACAAGUUUUAAAUUAUUUGGGGUUUUCUGUAGUCAACACAAGGUCAACGUUAUACAUACAGGGUCAAGAAUAUACAUACGGCACA
Long non-coding RNA from Ictalurus punctatus (channel catfish), 3557 nucleotides. Lineage: Eukaryota; Metazoa; Chordata; Actinopteri; Siluriformes; Ictaluridae. The record is from Ensembl.